CCGGCUGUGGAGAAGGAG
RNAcentral lists this microRNA (18 nucleotides) under Taeniopygia guttata (zebra finch). RNAcentral's name for it is "tgu-miR-2993". The record is from miRBase by way of RNAcentral. Lineage: Eukaryota; Metazoa; Chordata; Aves; Passeriformes; Estrildidae.